Xenopus laevis (African clawed frog) is the source of this 640-nucleotide long non-coding RNA. RefSeq lists it as uncharacterized. The transcript is spliced from 3 exons. The record is from RefSeq and is a predicted model, not a curated record. NCBI's taxonomy places the organism in Eukaryota, Metazoa, Chordata, Amphibia, Anura, Pipidae.
CCAUUUAGUUGGGUAUCCUCAUUCACCCUGUAAAUUUAACUCAAGGUUGUUAUGCCUGUACCCAUUUCCCUUGCCUGUAACAACCAAACAUAACUGCGGUCUGCAUUCUGACUGGAGUCAGUGUUACUUACCUUAGUCUGGUCAGUCACUUCCAAUUGCGUUUGCCAGUUCCCCUCUCGUCAUCAUUCUGACCGUACUUACCUCCUGAGGGAACCUCUGCAUCGGUUACCUGAAGAAAGAAGUAUCAUUAUGACCACAUUUUUUCUACAGGGACAAUUUCCAGCUUACAGCUGUGCUCUCCAUGGUGCUUCCUCUGGUUUCUCUCCAGAUUCGCUAAGAACUUCUCUCCCACCGUGAGGGUACCUAGAAACCAGAAACGUCAUCACUAUAAUGACCAGAAAUUCAAGCUUGGAGCACCACUCCCAUCACAAAAAGACUCUACAUCCUCUCUCAGCAUCACAGCCCAUCCUAAAAUUGCAGUUACACCCAGAAAAAUACCACAAGUACUUUCAGCCACAGCUGGAGGAGGAUCAGCCUAUUAGACCAAUAGACUAUCAGGAGACUCUUUUUUUUUUUCCCAGGAAAAUGAGACAAAGGAGGGGGCUGCCAGCCUAUGAAAGGUAAAACUUGAGUUUUUAUG